AACGAACGCUGGCGGCAGGCCUAACACAUGCAAGUCGAGCGAGAUCUUCGGAUCUAGUGGCGGACGGGUGAGUAACGCGUGGGAACGUGCCCUUUGGUUCGGAAUAGCCUCGGGAAACUGGGAGUAAUACCGGAUACGCCCUUCGGGGGAAAGAUUUAUAGCCAAAGGAUCGGUCCGCGUUGGAGUAGGUAGUUGGUGGGGUAACGGCCUACCAAGUCGACGAUCCAUAGCUGGUUUGGGAGGAUGAUCAGCCACACUGGGACUGAGACACGGCCCAGACUCCUACGGGAGGCAGCAGGGGGGAAUCUUAGACAAUGGGGGCAACCCUGAUCUAGCCAUGCCGCGUGAUCGAUGAAGGCCUUAAGGUUGUAAAGAUCUUUCAGCUGGGAAGAUAAUGACUGUACCAGCAGAAGAAGCCCCGGCUAACUCCGUGCCAGCCGCCGCCGUAA
Molecule: ribosomal RNA, 449 nt
Filed under: uncultured bacterium
Lineage: Bacteria
Description: partial 16S ribosomal RNA
Rfam family: Bacterial small subunit ribosomal RNA
Source: RNAcentral